UGACACAGUUCUUUCCAGAACACAUGUCCCUCAGUACACAUGAAAACAGAAUCAUCCUUUCUUGCUGUAGCCAAAGGAAAACGAAAAUAUUCUAAUUUCUUAACAUUAUAAAACCUAGAGGUCUUUUUUUUUUUUUUUUUUUUUUUAAAUUUUCAGGACACAGUUUCUCUGUAUAGCCCUAGGUAUCCUGGAACUCACUCUGUGGACCAGCCUGGCCUCAGACUCAGAGAUCCACCUGCCUCUGCCUCCUGAGUACUAGGAUCAAAGGCGUGCGCCACCAUGCCCCACGGGUACUGCUUUUAGAAGAACUGGUGUUUGAUCCCUGUUGGUGUACAACCACCUGCAACUUUGCCCCCAGGGCAUCUCUCCCCUGUGGGCACGAGCCACACACAGACACACAAAUAUACAUGUUUGGUAAUAUAAUCUUUUUUUAAAAAUUACUAUGCCCAGGGGCCAGAUUUUUCCAGCAGACUUGUCAUUUUUAAAGAGCUUUCUUUAGCCUGGACCAUUGUAUCUGCUGAGUGUUCCUGUCCUGACUGCUUAGCCCCUGUGGGAUGUAUGAUAAUUACACAAUUGCGGCACACAUACACACACACCUUUGUUAAAGCAACAUAUAUAAAACAAAUCUUUCAUUGUUUGUAAGUGACCUGUACAUGAUGACUGAUGGUUUGUUUUAUUUUGCUUGAGGAGAUAGCUUCUAUAAUUCAUGAAACCCACUAGCAUGGCACCAAUGCCUGGACAUGUUGCUAAGACUGUGUAGUUUAGGGAAGCUGGAGAGAUGAUGGUGCUGUCCUUGCAGAGGACCUAAGUUCAGUUUCCAACACUUAUAUCAGAUGCCUUGCAACCACUUGUGGCUCCAGCUCCAGGGUAAUCUGCCCUUUGUGGCCGUCACAGGAACCCAAGCACAUGUGCACAGACACACAUGUAUGACUAUGGGAGUGCGUGCGCGCGCGCGCGCGUGUGUGUGUGUGUGUGUGUGUGUGUGUGUGUGUGUGUGUGGCUGCCAGGUAGGCAGUGUCUCAUUGGCAGAUAUGAAGUCUGUUAACCUUGCUGUACUGUAGUCUGAAACUGCCUUUGUCCCUUUUGGUCAGUGUGGCACUCUUCCCUCUGCACCAUCUGGGACUCUUGGCCCCCAACCCUGGGCCUCCCAGUAACACAGUAAAGAUCCACAACUCUAUGAACUGGUUUGUCACCAGGGUACCACCCUUGUCACCAGGAUACCACCCCUUGUUAAGUUUCUACUACACUUUCUUCCAUGUUAGGCUUCUUUGUCUUUUAAACUAGAAAAACUGUCUUGACUUCUCAAGAUGCUAACUGUUGUCUUGCUUAGCCUUCUUCCAUCUGGCUGGUAGCCAAAUGGUUGUGGCCAUCAUU
RNAcentral lists this long non-coding RNA (1374 nucleotides) under Mus musculus (house mouse). RNAcentral's name for it is "long non-coding RNA chr15:89079187-89080561". Lineage: Eukaryota; Metazoa; Chordata; Mammalia; Rodentia; Muridae. The record is from RNAcentral.